RNAcentral lists this ribosomal RNA (490 nucleotides) under uncultured bacterium. RNAcentral describes it as "partial 16S ribosomal RNA". It matches the Rfam family "Bacterial small subunit ribosomal RNA", at positions 29 to 505 of the family's 1533-position model. The record is from RNAcentral.
AGUGAACGCUGGCGGUAGGCCUAACACAUGCAAGUCGAACGGCAGCACAGUAAGAGCUUGCUCUUACGGGUGGCGAGUGGCGGACGGGUGAGGAAUACAUCGGAAUCUACUUUUUCGUGGGGGAUAACGUAGGGAAACUUACGCUAAUACCGCAUACGACCUACGGGUGAAAGCAGGGGAUCUUCGGACCUUGCGCGAUUGAAUGAGCCGAUGUCGGAUUAACUAGUUGGCGGGGUAAAGGCCCACCAAGGCGACGAUCCGUAGCUGGUCUGAGAGGAUGAUCAGCCACACUGGAACUGAGACACGGUCCAGACUCCUACGGGAGGCAGCAGUGGGGAAUAUUGGACAAUGGGCGCAAGCCUGAUCCAGCCAUACCGCGUGGGUGAAGAAGGCCUUCGGGUUGUAAAGCCCUUUUGUUGGGAAAGAAAAGCAGCAGGUUAAUACCCCGCUGUUCUGACGGUACCCAAAGAAUAAGCACCGGCGAACUUCG